GUACCCGCUGAACUUAAGCAUAUCAAUAAGCGGAGGAAAAGAAACCAACAGGGAUUGCCCCAGUAACGGCGAGUGAAGCGGCAACAGCUCAAAUUUGAAAUCUGGCUUCGGCCCGAGUUGUAAUUUGCAGAGGAUGUAUUUGGCGCGGUGCCUUCCGAGUUCCCUGGAACGGGACGCCAUAGAGGGUGAGAGCCCCGUCUGGUUGGACACCAAGCCUGUGUAAUACUCCUUCGACGAGUCGAGUAGUUUGGGAAUGCUGCUCUAAAUGGGAGGUAAAUCUCUUCUAAAGCUAAAUACCGGCCAGAGACCGAUAGCGCACAAGUAGAGUGAUCGAAAGAUGAAAAGCACCUUGAAAAGGGGGUUAAACAGUACGUGAAAUUGUUGAAAGGGAAGCGUUUAUGACCAGACUUGUGCCGUGUGGCUCAUCCGGGGUUCUCCCCGGUGCACUCCAUACGGUUCAGGCCAACAUCGGUUCUCGUUGGGGGAUAAGAACAGUAGGAACGUGGCCCUCUUCGGAGGGUGUUAUAGCCUAUUGUACGAUACCUUGAUGGGGACCGAGGACCGCGCUUCGGCUAGGAUGUUGGCGUAAUGGUCAUUAGCGACCCGUCUUGAAACACGG
This 619-nucleotide ribosomal RNA is filed under the name Melanconis stilbostoma. RNAcentral's name for it is "eukaryotic LSU rRNA". It matches the Rfam family "Eukaryotic large subunit ribosomal RNA", at positions 22 to 664 of the family's 3401-position model. The record is from RNAcentral. Lineage: Eukaryota; Fungi; Ascomycota; Sordariomycetes; Diaporthales; Melanconidaceae.